CCUACGGGUGGCAGCAGUGAGGAAUAUUGGUCAAUGGCCGAGAGGCUGAACCAGCCAAGUCGCGUGAGGGAAGACGGCCCUACGGGUUGUAAACCUCUUUUGUCGGGGAGCAAAGCGAGUCACGUGUGACUCAUUGAGAGUACCCGAAGAAAAAGCAUCGGCUAACUCCGUGCCAGCAGCCGCGGUAAUACGGAGGAUGCGAGCGUUAUCCGGAUUUAUUGGGUUUAAAGGGAGCGUAGGUGGAUUGUUAAGUCAGUUGUGAAAGUUUGCGGCUCAACCGUAAAAUUGCAGUUGAAACUGGCAGUCUUGAGUACAGUAGAGGUGGGCGGAAUUCGUGGUGUAGCGGUGAAAUGCUUAGAUAUCACGAAGAACUCCGAUUGCGAAGGCAGUUCACUGGACUGCAACUGACACUGAGGCUCGAAAGUGUGGGUAUCAAACAGGAUUAGAUACCCUUGUAGUC
RNAcentral lists this ribosomal RNA (460 nucleotides) under uncultured bacterium. Its description in RNAcentral is "partial 16S ribosomal RNA". It matches the Rfam family "Bacterial small subunit ribosomal RNA", at positions 338 to 795 of the family's 1533-position model. The record is from RNAcentral.